Molecule: ribosomal RNA, 141 nt
Filed under: Cereibacter sphaeroides
Lineage: Bacteria; Pseudomonadati; Pseudomonadota; Alphaproteobacteria; Rhodobacterales; Paracoccaceae
Description: Rhodobacter sphaeroides partial 23S ribosomal RNA
Rfam family: Bacterial large subunit ribosomal RNA
Source: RNAcentral
GAUCAGAUCAAGCGCGAAAAGGGCGUUUGGUGGAUGCCUAGGCAGCAAGAGGCGAUGAAGGACGUGAUACCCUGCGUUAAGCCAUGGGGAGCCGGGAAUGGGCUUCGAUCCAUGGAUGUCCGAAUGGGGAAACCCACCUGA